GAUGAACGCUAGCGGCAGGCCUAAUACAUGCAAGUCGGACGGGAUUCAGGAGCUUGCUUCUGAUGAGAGUGGCGCACGGGUGCGUAACACGUAUGUAACCUACCUUUAUCAGGGGGAUAGCCUCUCGAAAGAGAGAUUAAGCCCGCAUAAAAUCACAGCACAGCAUUGUGUAAUGAUCAAAUAUUUAUAGGAUAAAGAUGGGCAUGCGGAACAUUAGCUAGAUGGCGGGGUAACGGCCCACCAUGGCGACGAUGUUUAGGGGAUCUGAGAGGAUGGCCCCCCACACUGGUACUGAGACACGGACCAGACUCCUACGGGAGGCAGCAGUAAGGAAUAUUGGUCAAUGGGCGGAAGCCUGAACCAGCCAUGCCGCGUGCAGGAAGACGGCCCUACGGGUUGUAAACUGCUUUUAUCCGGGAAUAAACCCAGAUACGUGUAUCUGGCUGAAUGUACUGUAAGAAUAAGGAUCGGCUAACUCCGUG
This 482-nucleotide ribosomal RNA is filed under the name uncultured bacterium. RNAcentral describes it as "partial 16S ribosomal RNA". It matches the Rfam family "Bacterial small subunit ribosomal RNA", at positions 28 to 507 of the family's 1533-position model. The record is from RNAcentral.